GGGCAUCUGCUGACAUGGGGG
This 21-nucleotide microRNA is filed under the name Mus musculus (house mouse). RNAcentral describes it as "mmu-miR-680". Its record names the gene mmu-miR-680. Lineage: Eukaryota; Metazoa; Chordata; Mammalia; Rodentia; Muridae. The record is from miRBase by way of RNAcentral.